This 367-nucleotide long non-coding RNA is filed under the name Gossypium raimondii (Peruvian cotton). Its description in RNAcentral is "long non-coding RNA (GRAI_LNC009071)". The record is from RNAcentral. Lineage: Eukaryota; Viridiplantae; Streptophyta; Magnoliopsida; Malvales; Malvaceae.
GGAAAAUAAAAAGUUUUGGGGAAUAAAAGUUUGAGGGAAAGUAAAUAGGGGGAGUAAAAUUUUGGAGGGAAAAUAUUAAAAAAAAUUUGGAGGGGGGAGGGUUUGGGGUAGAUGGGAGGUGGGAUGGGAAGAGAAUAAAAGUUUUAGGAGAAAAGUGGGAGGGAGUAAAAAUUUGGGGGGAAAAUAAAAGGUUUUGAGGGUUUUUGGGAGUAAAAUUUUGAGAAAAAGUAAAUGGAAGAGUAAAAUUUUGGUGGGAAAUGGAUUUUGGAUAGAUUGGGGGGUUGGGAGGGGAGGGGAGUAAAAGUUUUGGGGGGAAAGUGGGAAGGAGUAAAAGUUUUGAGGGAAAAGUAAAAAAGUUUGGGAGUUU